RNAcentral lists this unclassified non-coding RNA (572 nucleotides) under Hevea brasiliensis (rubber tree). The record is from RNAcentral. Lineage: Eukaryota; Viridiplantae; Streptophyta; Magnoliopsida; Malpighiales; Euphorbiaceae.
GAAACUUGAAACUCAAAAUCAGGCGUCACAUACAAGAUCGUGGUCAGCUCUCCCUCUUUCCUAGAUUUUGCGCACAUAAUUAUUGGAUUAUGGUUUUGUGUAAGGCGGAAAAUGGUGAGAGCAAUGUUUUGGUACCCUGCGUAUAAUCGUGCUUUUACUAGCUACUGGUUUCUUCUGUGAGGGAGGGUGUGGCAAGCAUAGGCGUACGCCGAUUAGACAUGGCUAAGAUAGAAUGAAAUGCCUUGGACCUCUUUAUUUUUUUUUUUUACCAAUUUUCCCUCUGUGAGUGUCAUGGUUGAUUGGCUCUGGUGACUUGAGUUCAGUGGUAACUGUGUGGUCUUUCUUGUGCUUUGGAGGUCAAGCUGUCUUCUUGUCGUUUUGCCUUUGAUGCUCUGUUUGCUUGCUCAAUCUCAGUAUCUGCUCUAACUCUGGAUGGUCCAGCGAAACUAUUUGGCAUCGUUGGUGAUUUUGGUUCCUGUGUGCUCAAGGGUUGCUGGCGGUACUAUUGGCUUGGUGGGUGGUUUUCCCAGUGGGUAUGGGUUGAUGCGAGGAGCUUUGGGUUGAUGUUUGGG